This 15162-nucleotide long non-coding RNA is filed under the name Daucus carota (carrot). RNAcentral's name for it is "long non-coding RNA (DCAR_LNC005916)". Lineage: Eukaryota; Viridiplantae; Streptophyta; Magnoliopsida; Apiales; Apiaceae. The record is from RNAcentral.
CUUAGCUCGUUCAGACAAUCCUCGGCCAAAUCCUCCACGAGUACUCCAUCUCCUUCUUCAUCUUCUGAUAUGAAUUCCUCUGCAAUCCAUAAAUGCUUCAAACGUUCGACGUCAAUAAUUUGGUCUUCUUGGAAUCUUGCAAGGUAGAGAAAACAAUCUCUCAUUUGGGGAGACAAGUCUUUAUAACUCAAGCUGAGUAUUUCUACAAUAUCCACAGAGUCAUCCGUCAAGUUUCUCCAGAUAUGCUUCUUCACCUUUGCCCAAUAGUCAUAGCUAUUGUUGUGCAAUAAAAGGCCGCCCAGUAUCACAAUUGCAAGUGGUAAACCUCGACAUUUACCAACCAUCUCCUUUCCUAAGUUCUCCAACUGGUCGGUUGGUUGUGCUGUCUUGCAGAACAAUUCCCAGCUUUCCUCUUCCCUCAAGAAACGAAGUUGAUAGGCUAAACCUUUGUUAUCUACAGUCUCUGCUACUUUCUUGUUUCUCGUGGUAAUGAUAAUCCUACUACCGUUGUCCUGGUUUGGAAAUGCAGUUUUGAUCUGGCUCCAAGCGUUUAUAUCCCAUAUAUCAUCAAUAAGUACCAAAUAGCAACCUUGAUUCUGGAGUAACUUUGACAGGUACUGCAGCAAGUCAUGCUCAUCCAUGUUUGACAUAUAUUGUUCGUGCUCAGGUCCCUUGAAAGACUUUACUAUCCUCUUAAGGACAUCUUUGAUGGUAUAUUCUCCGGAGACACAAACUUUAGCACGGGUGCCAAAAUCUCUCAACUCGUUAGAGUUGUACAACUUGGUGGCAAGUGAAGUCUUGCCCAAUCCCCCCAUUCCAUGAAUGGAAAUGAUUUUAAGGGCCGGAUCCUCGCUAUUAAGUUCUUUCAUCAACUUUUGAAUAUCGUCCUUGAAACCAACCACAUCCACCUGUUUAUCAAUGGCACUUGUUCUUAUUAAGGUUCUCUCUUUCUGUUUUACAUCUGGACCGGCUAAAAUAUUGUCUAUUCCAUACUCGAGUCGCCUCUCCUUGAUCACACCGAUCUUUUUCUUGAGUGACUCGAUAUUGUUGCCAAUGUCAUAAAGCUGAGCUUCUUUCUUGCAGAUGCAAAUACAGUUGAGAAAUCUAUCCAUAUGACCUUGUUCCAGACUCGCUUGUCCAUCCUGAAAUCUCUUCAGUAUAUCCACGGCUUCAUUGGCAACAUCUCUGACAGUGCUUAUCCAUAGACGGAUUUCAUCUUCUUGCCUUGAUUCUGCACGAUUUACGGAAGCCUGGAGGAAGCCUAACUCUUCUUUGAGCCAGCCUAUAUCAUCUCUAACUCCUAUUCGUAUGUUAACCUGGUGCACAAGAAAAUUACCAAGGUUUUCAAUUGCAAAAGAUAGCACAGCAUCUGCCAUACUUCUCUAAGAAGUCAAAAAGAAAGGAUGGCUGGGAAAUAUUGGCAAAAGAGUUUGGUAGAAGGUCACUGAGGGAGUAAGACUACUUCAAAGUGGAACAUAUUAUUUAUUAUAAUUUAAGUUUAUAUUAAAAUAUUGAUUUGAGCUUGGACGUUCGAUUAGUGUGAACGAAACAUGGAGAUGCACAAUGAGACGAAUAAGUUUUUUAUGAUGCACAUGAGACAAAUAAGUUUUUUUUAAUAGCCAUGCGGAAUCAUAUGAUUCACUAAAUUGUCCUCUGUGCAUUUUAUAAAGAGUUUGGCCUUGAAAUUUGAUGCAACUUUUUCUUAUUUUCUUCUCCCAUGUGGCUGUGUUUGUUUUAUAGCAACUGCAAGUUGAGCUGAGUUAAAUAAAUUUAUACUAAAAUAUAAUUCAGGCCGCUCCUAUGUCUCCCUGGGAACUGUGUAGAUCUACCAAGCCCGCCCCAUAAAGCGAUAAAGAAUGUACUAUUCGAUGUUAUUUGGGGCGGUUCGACCUGGUUUAAAAGAAGUUAGUUACUGCUUAUAGGUAAGAAGUCACGUAUAAUUGAACAAUAAAUUUUCAUUCUUCUGUUUGGAUAAUUUUUUGAUAAUUUAUAACUAAUAGGUAUAGAAAUUAGUAUUAUAAUAAUAAAACUAGCGUAGAAGCAUGUGCAAGGUACGCCUACUGUUGUGUAAUAUGUGUUUGAAUAAAUGGUUAUAGACUAAUGUGUGUUUGAAUAAAAGUUUGCAGGCUGCAACAGGCCUGCCUUCAGAAAAUCCAAGGUGCUGUGCAAUACUCCCUCCGUCCCAUAUUGAGUGAGCUGUUUUGACUUUCACGGAGAUUAAGAAAAAGGUAGUAAGUUUAGUUGAAAAGUGAGUAAAGUUGUGGGACCUAUCAAUAUUUAAUAAUAGAUUUGAGAUAGUGGAGGAAGAUAGUGGGUGUAAUAGUGUUUAUAUUAUUAUAGAAUGGAGAUAGUGGAAGAAAGUAGUGGGUGUAAUAGUGAAAAGUAGUGUUCAAAAAUAGUAAGUAUGAUAGGUUCAUUCUUUUUGGGACGUCCCAAAAAGGAAUAAGGGUCACAUAAAAUGGGACAGAGGGAGUACAAAGCAGAAGCAAAUCUUGAUACUCUUGCCUUUAGAAACAAUGAAGAGGGUUGUAGAACAAAACCAGAAUUUCAAGUUUGUGAGUUAACAGUUAAUUUUUAAUUUUUCCUUUUCCGUGACGAAUUAAUUUGUUAGUUAACUGAGGUUAUUUACUUGAAUAUAUCUUCACUGAACCUGUUGUUACAUUACUUGUGUAUAUAUGCAGAAUUUCUGAUGAUGGGUGACGAUGAUCAUCACAAUGAUUAGCUAAAUUAAUUAAUCAAAUACACAACGCUUAUGAAACCACUGCAGAAUAAUUUUUUUUAUUUUGUGAUGCAUUUAUCUGACUAUAUAUAGGCAAAAUUUUGUGGCACUUGGUAAUAAGGAAAUACUAAAUUAUUACUAUGAUAUAACUAAACACUUUAGGUAUUGUUGAAUUAGACGGCUAAUUUUGAUUAGAGAUAGUCGAAUAUAUAUAUAUUUUUUCAGUCAGAAACGGUCAAAAUACAACUUCGAUAGUCUUAGGGGGUGUUUGAUAACUCUUAAUAGCCUCUUAAUAGCCAUUUUACUUAUUCGGUCAGAGAUUUAAUUUUUUUAACAGAUUAUCAAACGUGCUUAAUGAAACCAAAACACACUUAUUGGAUAAGAGCGUGGACUCUCGCUUAGUGGGUAAGAGAGCCUCUGAAUAGGGUUUUCCAAUGUAUACCCUCAAACUCAACCCUUUAUUUUCACCCAUCCUGCGUUUAUGCUAGCUGCUUUAACAGUGUGUUAUCAGAUACCCGUCACUUUUCUUCACUUUUCUUUAAAAAAAUAAAGAAUUGAUUAAUCUUGAUAUGGGCUAUAAAUAUAUAAAAUUAUAAAAAUUUUGGAUGAUUUUUAUAAUUUUGGAUUAAUUUUUUUAUGAUUUGGAUAAAAAUUUUGGAUGAUUUAUGAUGUGUUUUAGAUAAAAAUUUAAAAAUAUAAUUUUGAAAUUAUAGUUAUGGAUAAAAUUCCAAAAUUAUAAAAAUUAUAAAAAAUUUAACAUCAUAAAUCAUCCAAAAUUAUAAAAAUUUAUCCAAAAUUAUAAUUUUUUAAUAAUUUCGGAUGAUUUACAUUUUUGUAAUUUUUAUAAUUUUGGAUAAGAUUAUACUUUUUUUAUAAUUUUGAAUAAAAUUAUAUUUGUUAUAAUUUUGGAUGAUUUAUGAUGUAUGUUGGAAUUAUAAGGGUAAAAUGAUAAAUAUAUUGGCAUUCAGAUAUUUUAAUAUGAUUGUUAUCAAACAAUAAAUUUCUUUCAGUAAAUUUUUCAUUCAGGCAAAUUCUUCAUUCAGUGUAUUCAGCAAAUUUAAUGACUCAGCAUUUUUUAUUCAGUUUUAUCAAACAACCUCUUAGUCGAAAGUGUAGCGAUUGGGAUGAUCAAAAAGAGUAACUAUCCUUAUUCAAAAAAAAAAGAAAAAAGAGUAACUAUCCGGUUGAACUUUUAUAUUCGAGCAAAUUUGGUCAAAAAUAAUGUUUUCACGCUAAACUUUUUUUCAGAAACAAAAGGCAAAAUUCCCGUCUUCAAUUUAUUUUCGACCGUGAGUAUUUUCGACUGGGACUAGGCUGGAAAACCUUCGCUCAAAUUUUGGAGGGACAGAAGUGAAUGGCUUAUAAGCGGUUAAAAAUAGUCCACAAUUUUGACGGAUUUUUUCAACAGGUCUCUAAUUUGACUAAGUCUCGUCGUCACUUUUAACUUCGAACUAUUACCGUCGAAAAUAUAUGCGAUCAAAAUUAGCCGCUUUUCUUAUAUCACAUAAUAACGUGUUGAAGGGUAAUUGAAAUUUGAUAUGGUGAAACACAAACCGGAAUCACUAUUAUUGUUGUUAAAAAUCUUUGAUUUUCGGCUCUCCAUUGUAUCUUCUUUGUCUCUUCAGCUUACUCAUUUUUCGAGUUUGGUCACAUAUUCUGCUGCAUGCAAUGUUGUAUACAAUUCAGAAACUUGCGUUAAUAAUCAAAACAUUUGUCAGACUAGAUCCCAUCAAUAUUGAUCUCUUGUUUUAUCAUCAGAAUAUUUUGAUAUGGUUGUAUUUUGGGGUUGUAUACUUGUAUUCCCUCUACCGAACAGAUUGAUUCUGAAUUUUGUUUUGUUGAACUUUUGAAACAAAACUUUUGAACCGAAGUACUAAACAAUUUGACAGUUCAAGAAAGUUGAAUAUCAAAUUUUAUGAUUCACCUAGCGUUUUUGCUUGUGUUUUUUUUAAUAAUAAUCGUAUGAUUUUUUUGAAGUCAAGUUGUGUGUCAUGUGUUUUAAAGCAAGACUAAUAAAGUCCCAAGAUCCAAAAUCAUUAUAAUCAUGUUCCCGUUCAUUCUUUUUUUUUUCCUGACAGGUGAUUAUAAUCUGUAAGAUUAUAAAAAGAUUAUAUUUUAGAAAUAAUCAAUUUAUUUUACUUAAUUCAAUAAAAGAAAGAUUUUGGUAAGAGAGCAUUGAGGGAGUAAUUCAAAUGCAGAGUUGAAAGUGGAAUUUAUCAUUCAAAUUUAUUAUAAUUUCAAUUUUAAUGAAAAAUUAACGAAAAUUAAAGUACUCUGUGAUGUGCUACACUCGCUGAUUUGCUGGAUUCCACCGCAUACCCUGCGUGUCUGGGAUGCAUCAUGCAUAUUGCGUUAUUGUUAAGUUUGUCUUUUGUUUAUUAAAUAAUAAAAUUAAACAUAACUCUAUGAUAACAUUUUCUUUCAUAUGGGGUCAUCAGGGAGUUUUUUAAGAUACGCAUGAAGAAAAAACACAAAAAUACAAACGACCUAAUUAUUCUUAUUAAACCUACCUAGGACACAUGUGGGGUACUAAAUAUAGAGAUAUAGACACAUAUCAUAUCACCAUUAUACUGCAUACUACCACUAUAUUUUAAUAAUAUUAAAAAGAAUAACAUAGUGUUAAUAAUCAAAUCCGAACCUAAUGUUAGUGACAAAAAAAAUCAGAACCUAACAUUAGUGAAAAAAAAAAUUAAUAGUUCAGUGGUAGGUUUCUAAAUAAAUAAUAAGUUUGAUGGUAAAAAAAUUUAUUUUUCCCUAAAAAUUAAUGUAUAUUUUUCAUUUCGAUUCUACUUUUUAAUUUUAUACUAAUUUUUUAAUAGUCACUAAAAAUCUUAAUGACUCAUGAAAUCAUGAUCAAUUUAUUAAAUUUUCAUGUGUACAUUCUGUAAAGAAGUUGGCCCUGCUUAUUUUCUUCUUCCCAUAUGAUUGCAUGUGUUUUUAUAACAAUCCUUAGUUGAGGUAGUUAACUUAAAUUGACAUGUUACAUUUUAUAAAGAAUUUGGUUUCAAAAAAAGAAUUCUAUAAUAGUCGCAAGUUGAGGCAAUUAACUUACAUUGACCUGUUACAUUUUUUAAAGAAUUUGGUAUUAGAAAAUUGAUGCAACCUUUUCAACUCAUAAGCUAAAAUUAUGCACAAUAAUGUAUGUGCAUACAUGUAAUGAAACAUAAAUUUAUAUGGACACAAGCAUGCACACGUAAUCGAGUUUUUAAAAGUAGUUUAAAUUGUUGAUGAGGGCACUGCAUUCGUUAUGUGAAGAGGAACAAAAAGAGAAAUUAGGCUUCAGACUCUUUGACUUGCCGGGAAACAACUAAUAUCUCAAUUACUCUGCCUGUUCUUGAAAAUAACUAUCGACGAACUUAACCAAUAUGUGUAACGAAAAUAAACAACUCAAGCACGCUCCCCACGGAUCCUCCUGGCCAGCUGAAUGUCUUUAGACAUGUUUGUCACACACUUAGAAUGAAUAGCGCACAAGUUAGGCUGUGUUCACUUGGAUGGAAUGGAAUGUGGAGAGAAUGGAAUGAAAUUUGCAUUAUAAAUUGGGAGUGAUUAGUGAAAUUGUUUAUUAUUUUUAUUCUUUCAAUCAUUCCAUUUUAACUAUUUCAACUAAAAAUCUAACCCACAUGUUUUGAAAGGAAUGUUGAUUCUAUUUCAUCAUUUUUUCUUAGCAUCUUCUUCAUGAAAUUUUUUAACUCACUCAUAUUUAAUCAUUAUUACUUUAUACUUUCUCCGAUCUUCAUAAAACUUGUCCAUGUAGUUUCAUUCCAUUCUGCCCUCAUUCUAUUCCAUGAGAUGAACACAACCUUAAUAUCUUCCAACAGGUUUAUUAGGUAUACCUCAGCUGCCUCCCGGAGAGUUAGGACCGCAUGGCUCUGAAAAUGCAAAUCAGUCUGCAACAACAAAUUAAAAUUGCAUGUUGCAAUAAAAUUCAAUACGAUAAGUGAAGAUACAAUAUUUAGGGUUGUUUGUUCCAAAGAAGCAGAAGCUGCUUCUGACUUCGGCUUCUUUUGCCCGUUUGCCUAAAUAAGUAUAAACACUUUUAAGAAGCUGAGAAUGCUAGCUUCUGAGUUCUCUCAGAGAGUAUCUGCUUCUUUUUCAAACACUUCAUUAACUUAUUUACUUCUCUCUUCUUAUCCACUUCUUUACUUUAAAUAAAAAAUCACCUUUUUUUAAACUGACCUAAACCCCCCCUUAGUUCUUCAUUAUCUUCUUCUUCCGAGCAUGUGCGGCCCAGCUGAUCAUCUUCUUUGAAAUAUGGGCAUCACUUACCCCUGGAUCAGACAUGGUAUAAAGCACAGCCAAUAUCAAGGGCUUGUUGGCAAGGGUAUGUUUUUGUCAGAAUAUAUGUAAGGUAUUUAAUUCUGAAAUAUAUGUAAAAAUAUUACUAGGCAUUUGCAGAAAUUAUUGGCAUUAUUUUUCACGAUCUUAUAAUAUUACAUAGCUAGCAUUCUUCAGAGCAUGUGCCACACCCAGCGGAGAGCAUGACCGGUUCGUCUCGAUUUCCGAAUAAUCGUAACCGCAAUUAUAUAUUAUUUUUAAAAUUGAUAACCAUAACUGCCGGUUCGUAUUUUGGUUUUGGUUUAAAAAACCUGACACGGUUAUAACUGCUUGUGUUAAACUUGAACAGUAUAUUGUAAUCCCAGAUAAAUUUACAUUGGCCCGGUUUAUAAAAUAUACUAAUACAUUUACUUAUUUGAAAUUGUUUAGAUUUAAUAAAGUUUUACUGACAUUCAAUGAGCAGGGCAAGCAGCAUGAAGCACCUGCGAAAUUAUCCACCUUAUUAUUUGCAAUUGCUUUUCAAGGACCUCUCUGUAAUCGUCUUAUCAAGCAGGUAUAUGAGUGUAUCUAAUUAUGUAUACGUAAACAUUUGACUAAUUAGAAAAUAUUUCAAAUGCAAAGACUUCUAUAAUUAAAUAAGCGCAUUCCUAUUUUCAGCAGAAUAAUAUGAUCUCUGGCCGUUCAUUUCAAAGUGACGAUUAUCAAAGGUUCCUGUUUAAAGCAGUUGAACGAACUUUGUAGCUUGUUGGGUGAUGCGGAGAAGGUGUUCGAUAAAUUGCCUGUAUGAAGAUUUUUCCAAUUGGUGAGUUUACGUGACAAUAUUUGGUUUUCUUGGAUCGCUACUAAGAACUUUUUAUGCUUGUAACCAUUGGGUCUUUUAAAGUGCUUGGCAUGUCUUAACUUUAUUGUGUUUUUGGAGAUUUUGAUCUCGUGCUAGUUAAGACUAGUUUUAUAUGGAAAUCGAUCUUGGAACCUAGAAAUUGAACCGAGUUUGGGCUACCUUAAAAUUAAGUGAUUGAUUUAGGAAUUUGGGUCUGGGGCUUAGUUAUGGAACCUAAUAUAUUGAGAUCAUCGAGAUCAUUACAAAGAUUAGCUAAAUUAAUUAAUCAAAUACACGCCGCUUAUGAAACCACUGCAGGAUAAAAAAAUCUAUACUUGUGAAUUGUGAUGCAUUUAUUUGACUAUGUAUAUCAGAUAUUUUGGUCCGUGUGCUGAUUUUAGAAAAACAGAUAUUUAAAAAUGAAGGGAGUAUUAUCCAACACUUUCAACUUUUAAUUAAACCAGGUCGAUAUGAUAUAUUUAAAACUGUAAAUAUGAGAUAAUCAUGAAAUGUUUCGUCUUUAUAGAAAUAAGAACAAACAAACAAUGCUAGAAUUACUGAUACCGAACGAUUCUUAGCCGGGACUGAUAUCUUAUUUAUCCUGUUUAUUCUCUGACAUAAAUAUCUACCAACUUAAACAAUAGGCAGAACGAAAAUAAAUAAACUUUUAAUAUAAUGUUGAAGAUAAGUAAAGAUACAAGGUACAAUCGAUUCUCAGGCACCCGAUAAAUAUUAGGUUAUUUUCUGGCUGUUAAAUAUCUAACGGUCAUGAUUAUACUAACAUUUUUUAAUAUGUCAUGUUCAAUGGCUAAAAAACACUGAUUAUAUUAAAAUUUUAUUAUAAUCCUGGGUGCGAAUAUUUAUCUUACGGUCAAAAAUCAUGUUUUUUUGACAGGUUCGUGGCAGUCUAACUGCCAGGAAAAAACUUGAAAUUUUUGCGCAGGUAUAUGAGUGUAUCUGAUUAUGUAUAUGUAAAACAUUUGACGUAAUCAGAAGAUAAAUGAAAUGCAAAGGCUUCUAUAAUCAAAUAAUCGCAUUCCUAUUUUCAGCAGAAUAUGGUAACUGGCCAUUCAUUUGAAAGUGACGAUUACCAAAUGUUCUUGUUUAAACCAGUUCCAAGAAAUUUGCAGCUUGCUGGGUUGUGUUUGUUUUAUAGCUACUGCAAGUUGAGCUGAGUUAAAUAAUAGAUAGUGUACGAGGUUAUUGAAAUUCACAGUAUUAAUCUUGACCCAGUCCUAUCUAUUCUUAAUAAAGAAUGGAGGUUUGUUUGGUGGCUAUCAAUAUUCAAACCCCAGCUAAUUUUAAUAAAUAUAUAUAACUCAGACAGCUCGAAUAUCUCCCUGGGAACGGUGUAGAACUGUAGAUCUACCCAGCCCGUCCCAUAAAACUAUAAAGAUUGUACUAUUCAAUGUUAUUUGGGGCUGUUCGACUUGGUUUAAAAGAAGUUACUUGUCACUUACAAUUAAGAAGUAAAAUGUUAAUUAUAAGUGAAAGAUAAAUUUUAAUUUAUUUGUUUGGAUAAUUUUUUAUGAUAAUUUAUAACCAAUAGGUAUUAAAAAUUAGUAUUCUAAUAAUAAAACUAGCUUUAAAGGUUGUAGACUAAUGUGUGUGUGAAUUAAAGGUCAUGCAGAUUGCUGUGUAGUUUUCUUCUCUCAAAGAACUUAUGAAUCACAAAUUUGUCAUUGUAGGAUGAUUGAAUCUUAAUUUUGAAGAUCUACUUCAAAUGAUCUCCACUGCAUCAGGCAUUUGUAUAUGAUGCAAUAUAAAACCAAGGUGCUGUGCAAUACAAUGCAGUAUUUCAAAUGUGAACUCAACAAUAUAUCUUCUUAGUGGUUAACAAUACUACAUGUAAAGAUAAUGAUAGUGAAAUCAAGAUUCAGAUGAUAUGGAUAUAAUAUCAUUUUAGACAUAAGAAAGUUUGAUAAUCACAACACUGCAUCAAAUUUUAAAUUGUCAGAGUAUUGAAAUCAAUCAUGCAGUUCUACAAUUCAUUUUAUGCUAUUGAGUAUUGUGUUCCCAACGGAUGACAGUAUAAAAUUUCAGAGCCGGAAAGAAUUUAUCCCUCCUCUGUUAAUAGACCAAAAUUAAGCAAGAUACAAGAAAGCACAUCCAUAAAAGGGUUUGUUUAUCAUCAAAGAGUUUAUUUUUUCCGGUGUGUGUUCAUGGGCACAUGCUAAGCACUAAAUUUUAUGUAGGACCUGGGUCAACAGAGCAUAAACCCUUAACCACUGGGCUAUCCAAUCGUGCUCAUGUAUUUAACUAAUUUUGAUUGGCUCCUACUUUGUAAUAAUGGUUGACCGUUGACCCUUCUGCAUAUACAAAAACUUCACCAAUCAAUUUGAGCUAAAUGCAAAGAUUUUAGUGCUUAGUAUGUGCCCAUGAGCACAAACUAGACAAAAGCGAAAAAUAUAACAAUUCGAGAGGGGAUACAAUAAAUAUUAAAAAUAUCACAUAGUCAUAUAAUCAAAAUACAGUUACAUUAAAUCAACUAGCAGUUCGAGUAACAUUAUUGCUUUCUUAUAUUAAAUCACAUUAAUCUACUAACUGCAAUUAUUUAUAGUUUAUACACUGGUCUAAUAGAAAUCAGGGUCUCUGGCUCAAUUUCAAAUCUAAAAAAAUUGUCCAAACAUUGUAUUUAGGCUUCAGAAAGCGCAGGCAUCCGAUUUCUGCAAAGCUUAGUUGGUUUAGUAUUAUGCUGCCACUGUUCAUAACUUCCAUGACUCUUUUUUGCCCUAACAAACUCUCGUGAGAAGGUGGAUGCUCAUGGUAAAGUUUUCAAGUGUAAGGUAUUUUUCUGUCAGAAUAUAUUUCAGAUAUUUUAAAUAAGCUAGUAUCAGUAAAGUCAUCUAAGGAUCGCAGAAAAUAAAACGCAGCUGAAUCCGCAAGGCGGAAAGUUUCACAUUUACAUCAAUAUUAUUGCAUAAGACUAACUGAUUAUAAUCAGCUAUUUAAAAUUAAUCUGAAGAUGGUUCGUUUCAAGCCUCCCAUAAUUCAUAAUAUCACCCAAAAAAAAACUCAAAGUAUUAUGAACUCUUUAGGCCUGACGGAGGCAUGGUGGGUGAAAGGAGCCCAAAUCACAAUUUUUAUGUCAUUUGUAAGUUUAUGCAGCGUGCAUAAAGAUAUAUAAAGAUUAGACGUAAAUUAGUAAUUUGUCUCGUGUUAUGAACAGUGCCGACAUUUCAAACGAGAAACGUUUUUAGAGACGGAGGGAGUAUAACUUAAGUUUGUAUUAAAAUAUUGAUUUGAGCUUGGACGUCCAAUUAGUGUGAACGAAACAUGGAGAUGCACAAUGAGACAAAUAAGUUUCUUAAGGUCACAUGAGAAGAAUAAGUUUUUUAAUAGUCAUUAGAAAUCAUGAUUCACUAAAUUGUCUUGUGUACUUUUUAUAAAGACUUUGGCCUUGAAAACUGAUGCAACUUUUUCUACUUAUUUUCUUCUUCCCAUGUGGUUGUGUUUGUUUUACAGCAACUGCAAGUUGAGCUGAGUUAAGAAAAAAUUUACUAAAAUAUAAUUCAGGCAGCUCCCAAUUCCCAUGUCUCCCUGGAACUGUGUAGAUCUACCGAGCCCGCCCCAUAAAGCGAUAAAGAAUGUACUUUUUGAGUUUAUUUUGGGCGGUUCGACUUGGUUUAAAAGAAGUUAGUUACUACUUAUAGGUAAGAAGUCACUUAUACUUGAAAAAUAAAUUUCUAUUUUUCUGUGUGGAUAAUUUUUUGAUAAUUCUUUACUAAUAGGUAUAGAGAUUAGUAUUAUAAUAAUAAAACUAGCGUAGAAGCAUGUGCAAGGCACGGCUACUGUUGUGUAGACUAAUAUGUGUUUGAAUAAAAGGUUGCAGGCUGCAACAGGCCUUGCCUUCAGAAAAUCCAAGGUGCUGUGCAACGCAACUCAGAAGCAAAUCCUGAUGCUCUUGCCUUUAGAAACAAUGAAGAGGGUUGUAGAACAAAACCAGAAAUUUCAAGUUUGUGCCCUUUCAUGGGUUGUUGAAGCUGAAAUGUCACUCCAUUGAAGUGACCGAGUACUCAUGCUUAUUAUUGAGCCCUGUAAGCUAGAGUCCUCUAGUGGCAAGCAAAACCAGGAUAUGUGUCUAUCACAAUCCUCUAAUGGUUGGCAAGCAGAACCAGGACUUUAGAGAAGUUGAAACAGUCUUCUAAUGACAAACAUAACAGUCUCUUCCAAUCUAUUUCUUCAAAUUCUUCUCCAUCUCUUAUCUUUCCUUCUCGCUUCUUCUUCUACCUUUACAACAGAUCAUCUUCCUUUUUACUAGCGUCUAAUCAUCAAUCCAUUAUCUUCAAGCUAAGAGUUCACAAAGUUCCCACUCUUUAGCUUGAGGGGGAGUGUUAAGGGAUAAGAUAAAAGGCUUUUAUGGUCUUUCUAUCCAGAACAUUUGUUUUUACUAGAAUUUAGUAUUGUUUGUAACCUUCUAUAUAUACUGGAGAUGUAAUAACUAUACGAAGACAAGUAAAAAGAAAUGUAGUCAAUUAAUUUCUCUUCUUUCUUGUUCGUGUGUUGCUCUGUAAGUUUGCAACUAUGGUUCUCACCAUCACUGACUUAUAAAAUCAUCAGAAGAUUCUGUUGUUCCUUGAAGAGAACUAACCCAAGCUGCAACAAAAAUAAUAGCUUACAAUUCUAUAGAUUCACCUUAUAGAGUUAUACAAUGGUCAUUUAUUACAAAAUCAUUUCAAUUCAUCUAACCCUUAGACCUUGUAACGAAGCUAAACAAUCUGUUAAACCUAAGAUCAAAUCUUAAAGAAAAUCUUCUAUAGUGGACAAACAUCUGCUAUACAUUCCAAGAUUAUUAAUAAAUAUAUCUUGAAUCAUCUUAAGUAACAAGCUUCGAAGGCCUACAACACUCUUCAUAAAGUCACAAACCAUGUUUCCUUUGGCCUUUUAACAUGGCAGUUAAAAAGAAUUUGUCAGGUUCAGAAUAUAUUAUAUUAAUCCUGUUAGGCAGUCUACUUCUUUAAGGAUUUAAGUUCAAAUCUUAACAUUUAUGCGGUCAAUCUUAUGCAGAAGCAAACCUACAUAGCAUUUAAGACAUCUGCAAAAAUAAUAAUAGGCAUCUGCAGAAUUUACUGGCAUUAGAUUCAGCGAUCUUGCAAUAUUACAUAACUAGCACAAAAGAACUUUUGUGGCAUUUUCAUUUCGUUCCUUUAAUAGUGGCUGUUUGAUGUGGAGGAAAGAUCACAUACAAUGUUAAAGCCAGUUUCAGUAAAGUGAUCUAAGGAUCGCAGCAAGAUUAUAACGCGACUGAAUCCGCAAGGCUGAAAGUUCCAGGUUCACAUCAAUAUUUUUGCAGAGAAAAUACAAACAAUUAAUUAACAUUAGGAAUUAAUUAUUUAUUAAAAAUAAUGGAAAUAUCGUAUAUAUACAAUCAAACAUUCACAAUAGAAAAAAAAAGUUAUCAUUUUGAAUAAUAAAUUUAAAUAAAAUACUGAAACGUCUAAAGUUUCAAUACUAAAAUUAUGUGAUUGUUUAAGGUAAUUGCUCCAUAAAGAAGCUGAGAAUGUUAGCUUCUCUCUCACAGCUUCUGCUUCUUUUCCAAACACUUUAUUAACUUAUUUACUUCUCACUUCUACUCCACUUCUUUACUAUAAGCAAGAAGUCACUUCUUUUAAGCUAACUUAAACGGCCCCAAUGUAACUAAAGAAAAUAAUGGAAUCUUGAUUAACCAAGUAUCUGUCCAAAUAGUCUAAAGUGGAGAAACAAAUUCAUUUUAGAAUGAGACUUUAAUCAUCAACAAAUAGAAUUAAAAUUCUUCAAAUUAAACAAAAACAAAAUACAUUCAAAUUGAACAUAAACAAAUUACAAAUUUUAUGAUAUUGUAAUGUGAUGCACGAGUGCCGAGAAUCUUCCAGGGCGUUUCUAAGACUUCUAGUUGGUUUGGAUCAAGAUACGUUCUAGUUGGACUGGAAUGCUCCUCAGCUCUCCACACCGAAUUGUUCUAAAACUUUCGAGGCAAGGGAGUGCUCUGUCCUCGACUUGCAAUUCUUUUAGAUCGGUGAAAUAUCGUAGUCUUAAACUUUGAAGACUUGGAAACGCAUUUUUACUGCAAACCAUUUUGUUCCCCUCAUACACUACAUACAAAUCAAGAGUCGUAAGAUUCCGUAAAUUUCCCAAGCUGGGCAUUGGAUCUUCAGUGAACCUACUAUGAGACAGAUUUAAAUCCUCGACUGAAUUUGGCAGAAAACGGAAUUCUGAUAGUUCUAUAACACCCCUUAAAGUUAUGCUCUUGAGACGAUUCAAAACCGAAAACGGUUUCAAUGUUGAAAUAACGACAUCAUGACCACACUCAAAUAUGAACGUUUGGAGAUUUGUUAAAUUAGCAAUGGAUUCAAAAGUGCGACCUCCUCCUCCCUCUCUAUCUCUUAUAUAUAAUGUACAGAGGUUAGUGAAAUUGACGGUAUCAAUCUUGACCCAUUCCCUGAAAUCUAUACCAGAAAAAGAAUGGAGCUUUGUUUGAUGGCUACCUAUAUUCAACCUCUCGCUAAUUUCAAUGAAUAAAUCGUACAAAUGCCUCAGCUCAGGCAGCUCCCACAUCUCUUUGGGAACUGUGUAGUAACAAUCAUGGUGCCCACCCCAUAAAGAUCGUAACUUUUUCAGCUUGCCUAUACUUGCUGGCACUGCUAUUGUUCUCCUGACGGUACCCAUUAAGCCUAAAAACUUUAAAAGAACCAGUUCCCCUAAUUCUUCUGGUACACUCUUUGAUGCUACACACGACAUAUCUAGCACUGUGAGAUUUUUAAAUCCAGUGUACAUCAACUUUAUUUCUUUUAAUUCCACUUUAAAUCUAUAACCUGCCAACAUUAGGGAAUGCAAAUAUAAAGCAUCAAAUCUACGCUGCUCAAGUAAUUUAAGGUACUCACCAAUUUCAUCGUAAAUAGCAUGACGCCGUUGUCCUUCCAAUAAAUGGAUGAGAUUUGGCUGGUGUUUACUUGAAUCAAAAAUAACCAACAAAUUCUGCUCCUUUGCUUUUUUUAUGGCAAGUUCACGCACAAGAUCAUGGACCCGGCAUGUGACAAUUUUCCCAUUCAAUUGCCAAUACUCAAUCUGAAUCAAGUUGCGAUUAAUUAGCUCGUUCAGACAAUCCUCGGCCAAAUCCUCCAUGAGUACUCCAUCUCCUUCUUCAUCUUCUGAUAUGAAUUCCUCUGCAAUCCAUAAGUGCUUCAAAGGUUCGACGAAAAUGAUUUUAUCUUCUGGAUAUCUUGCAAGGUAGAGAAAACAAUCUCUCAAUUGGGGAGACAAGUCUUUAUAACUCAAGCUUAGUAUUUCUACAAUAUCCACAGAGUCAUCUGUCAAGUUUCUCCAGAUAAGCUCCUUCACCUUUGACCAAUAGUCGUAGCUCUUGUUGUGG